AUGGCUUCCGGCGGCCAAACGAAGAUGGUUGCCGUUGGCAUGCUGCUGGUCAUCCUGUUCGCCGCGGUGGCUCACGCCGUCCUAGUGCCGCCAGUGCCGCCGCACCACCAAGCCUGCAUCCACACGACGGGCGAGGUUCCCGCCGCCAGUGACUGCAUCUGCUCCAAGAACUGCGCAUGCGCCGGAAAGUGCAUCUUAGCAGGCGGCACGGGCGACCAUGUCAAGGCCUGCUUCAUCGAUUGUGUGCUCAAGAACGACUGCAGGUGCAACGAUAACUGCUUCGCCCACCAGCCCCCGGUGCCCAUCAUCCUAGCAGAGCCCCAAAAGUGA
Molecule: ribosomal RNA, 330 nt
Filed under: Triticum aestivum (bread wheat)
Lineage: Eukaryota; Viridiplantae; Streptophyta; Magnoliopsida; Poales; Poaceae
Description: partial small subunit ribosomal RNA
Source: RNAcentral